Molecule: ribosomal RNA, 492 nt
Filed under: uncultured bacterium
Lineage: Bacteria
Description: partial 16S ribosomal RNA
Rfam family: Bacterial small subunit ribosomal RNA
Source: RNAcentral
AGUGAACGCUGGCGGUAGGCCUAACACAUGCAAGUCGAACGGCAGCACAGUAAGAGCUUGCUCUUACGGGUGGCGAGUGGCGGACGGGUGAGGAAUACAUCGGAAUCUACUUUUUCGUGGGGGAUAACGUAGGGAAACUUACGCUAAUACCGCAUACGACCUACGGGUGAAAGCAGGGGAUCUUCGGACCUUGCGCGAUUGAAUGAGCCGAUGUCGGAUUAGCUAGUUGGCGGGGUAAAGGCCCACCAAGGCGACGAUCCGUAGCUGGUCUGACAGGAUGAUCAGCCACACUGGAACUGAGACACGGUCCAGACUCCUACGGGAGGCAGCAGUGGGGAAUAUUGGACAAUGGGCGCAAGCCUGAUCCAGCCAUACCGCGUGGGUGAAGAAGGCCUUCGGGUUGUAAAGCCCUUUUGUUGGGAAAGAAAAGCAGCAGGUUAAUACCCCGCUGUUCUGACGGUACCCAAAGAAUAAGCACCGGCUAACUUCGUG